RNAcentral lists this ribosomal RNA (252 nucleotides) under uncultured bacterium. RNAcentral describes it as "partial 16S ribosomal RNA". It matches the Rfam family "Bacterial small subunit ribosomal RNA", at positions 524 to 776 of the family's 1533-position model. The record is from RNAcentral.
UACGGAGGAUGCGAGCGCUAUCCGGAUUUAUUGGGUUUAAAGGGUGCGCAGGCGGCACGGCAAGCCGGCGGUCAAAUCGCGGGGCUCAACCCCGCCCAGCCGUCGGAACUGCCGGGCUAGAGUGGGCGAGAAGUGCGCGGAAUGCGUGGUGUAGCGGUGAAAUGCAUAGAUAUCACGCAGAACUCCGAUUGCGAAGGCAGCGCACCGGCGCCCUACUGACGCUCAGGCACGAAAGCGUGGGUAUCUAACAGG